Molecule: ribosomal RNA, 2201 nt
Filed under: Escherichia coli
Lineage: Bacteria; Pseudomonadati; Pseudomonadota; Gammaproteobacteria; Enterobacterales; Enterobacteriaceae
Description: partial 23S ribosomal RNA
Rfam family: Bacterial large subunit ribosomal RNA
Source: RNAcentral
GCCGAAGGGAAACCGAGUCUUAACUGGGCGUUAAGUUGCAGGGUAUAGACCCGAAACCCGGUGAUCUAGCCAUGGGCAGGUUGAAGGUUGGGUAACACUAACUGGAGGACCGAACCGACUAAUGUUGAAAAAUUAGCGGAUGACUUGUGGCUGGGGGUGAAAGGCCAAUCAAACCGGGAGAUAGCUGGUUCUCCCCGAAAGCUAUUUAGGUAGCGCCUCGUGAAUUCAUCUCCGGGGGUAGAGCACUGUUUCGGCAAGGGGGUCAUCCCGACUUACCAACCCGAUGCAAACUGCGAAUACCGGAGAAUGUUAUCACGGGAGACACACGGCGGGUGCUAACGUCCGUCGUGAAGAGGGAAACAACCCAGACCGCCAGCUAAGGUCCCAAAGUCAUGGUUAAGUGGGAAACGAUGUGGGAAGGCCCAGACAGCCAGGAUGUUGGCUUAGAAGCAGCCAUCAUUUAAAGAAAGCGUAAUAGCUCACUGGUCGAGUCGGCCUGCGCGGAAGAUGUAACGGGGCUAAACCAUGCACCGAAGCUGCGGCAGCGACGCUGAUGCGUUGUUGGGUAGGGGAGCGUUCUGUAAGCCUGUGAAGGUGUGCUGUGAGGCAUGCUGGAGGUAUCAGAAGUGCGAAUGCUGACAUAAGUAACGAUAAAGCGGGUGAAAAGCCCGCUCGCCGGAAGACCAAGGGUUCCUGUCCAACGUUAAUCGGGGCAGGGUGAGUCGACCCCUAAGGCGAGGCCGAAAGGCGUAGUCGAUGGGAAACAGGUUAAUAUUCCUGUACUUGGUGUUACUGCGAAGGGGGGACGGAGAAGGCUAUGUUGGCCGGGCGACGGUUGUCCCGGUUUAAGCGUGUAGGCUGGUUUUCCAGGCAAAUCCGGAAAACUAAGGCUGAGGCGUGAUGACGAGGCACUACGGUGCUGAAGCAACAAAUGCCCUGCUUCCAGGAAAAGCCUCUAAGCAUCAGGUAACAUCAAAUCGUACCCCAAACCGACACAGGUGGUCAGGUAGAGAAUACCAAGGCGCUUGAGAGAACUCGGGUGAAGGAACUAGGCAAAAUGGUGCCGUAACUUCGGGAGAAGGCACGCUGAUAUGUAGGUGAAGUCCCUCGCGGAUGGAGCUGAAAUCAGUCGAAGAUACCAGCUGGCUGCAACUGUUUAUUAAAAACACAGCACUGUGCAAACACGAAAGUGGACGUAUACGGUGUGACGCCUGCCCGGUGCCGGAAGGUUAAUUGAUGGGGUCAGCGCAAGCGAAGCUCUUGAUCGAAGCCCCGGUAAACGGCGGCCGUAACUAUAACGGUCCUAAGGUAGCGAAAUUCCUUGUCGGGUAAGUUCCGACCUGCACGAAUGGCGUAAUGAUGGCCAGGCUGUCUCCACCCGAGACUCAGUGAAAUUGAACUCGCUGUGAAGAUGCAGUGUACCCGCGGCAAGACGGAAAGACCCCGUGAACCUUUACUAUAGCUUGACACUGAACAUUGAGCCUUGAUGUGUAGGAUAGGUGGGAGGCUUUGAAGUGUGGACGCCAGUCUGCAUGGAGCCGACCUUGAAAUACCACCCUUUAAUGUUUGAUGUUCUAACGUUGACCCGUAAUCCGGGUUGCGGACAGUGUCUGGUGGGUAGUUUGACUGGGGCGGUCUCCUCCUAAAGAGUAACGGAGGAGCACGAAGGUUGGCUAAUCCUGGUCGGACAUCAGGAGGUUAGUGCAAUGGCAUAAGCCAGCUUGACUGCGAGCGUGACGGCGCGAGCAGGUGCGAAAGCAGGUCAUAGUGAUCCGGUGGUUCUGAAUGGAAGGGCCAUCGCUCAACGGAUAAAAGGUACUCCGGGGAUAACAGGCUGAUACCGCCCAAGAGUUCAUAUCGACGGCGGUGUUUGGCACCUCGAUGUCGGCUCAUCACAUCCUGGGGCUGAAGUAGGUCCCAAGGGUAUGGCUGUUCGCCAUUUAAAGUGGUACGCGAGCUGGGUUUAGAACGUCGUGAGACAGUUCGGUCCCUAUCUGCCGUGGGCGCUGGAGAACUGAGGGGGGCUGCUCCUAGUACGAGAGGACCGGAGUGGACGCAUCACUGGUGUUCGGGUUGUCAUGCCAAUGGCACUGCCCGGUAGCUAAAUGCGGAAGAGAUAAGUGCUGAAAGCAUCUAAGCACGAAACUUGCCCCGAGAUGAGUUCUCCCUGACUCCUUGAGAGUCCUGAAGGAACGUUGAAG